UGAAAUUUACACAGGUACCUCAAGUCAAGA
Molecule: non-coding RNA, 30 nt
Filed under: Mus musculus (house mouse)
Lineage: Eukaryota; Metazoa; Chordata; Mammalia; Rodentia; Muridae
Source: RNAcentral